Molecule: transfer RNA, 83 nt
Filed under: Candidatus Collierbacteria bacterium RIFOXYB1_FULL_49_13
Lineage: Bacteria; Candidatus Collieribacteriota
Description: tRNA-Leu
Rfam family: tRNA
About the family: Transfer RNA (tRNA) molecules are approximately 80 nucleotides in length. Their secondary structure includes four short double-helical elements and three loops (D, anti-codon, and T loops). Further hydrogen bonds mediate the characteristic L-shaped molecular structure. tRNAs have two regions of fundamental functional importance: the anti-codon, which is responsible for specific mRNA codon recognition, and the 3' end, to which the tRNAs corresponding amino acid is attached (by aminoacyl-tRNA synthetases). tRNAs cope with the degeneracy of the genetic code in two manners: having more than one tRNA (with a specific anti-codon) for a particular amino acid; and 'wobble' base-pairing, i.e. permitting non-standard base-pairing at the 3rd anti-codon position.
Source: RNAcentral
GCCGAGGUGGUGAAAUGGUAUACACACUAGCUUUAGGAGCUAGCGGACGCAAGUCCAUGGAGGUUCAAGUCCUCUCCUCGGCA